This 814-nucleotide ribosomal RNA is filed under the name uncultured Hafnia sp. RNAcentral's name for it is "bacterial SSU rRNA". It matches the Rfam family "Bacterial small subunit ribosomal RNA", at positions 60 to 863 of the family's 1533-position model. The record is from RNAcentral. Lineage: Bacteria; Pseudomonadati; Pseudomonadota; Gammaproteobacteria; Enterobacterales; Hafniaceae.
AGUCGAGCGGUAGCACAAGAGAGCUUGCUCUCUGGGUGACGAGCGGCGGACGGGUGAGUAAUGUCUGGGAAACUGCCUGAUGGAGGGGGAUAACUACUGGAAACGGUAGCUAAUACCGCAUGACGUCUUCGGACCAAAGUGGGGGACCUUCGGGCCUCACGCCAUCAGAUGUGCCCAGAUGGGAUUAGCUAGUAGGUGGGGUAAUGGCUCACCUAGGCGACGAUCUCUAGCUGGUCUGAGAGGAUGACCAGCCACACUGGAACUGAGACACGGUCCAGACUCCUACGGGAGGCAGCAGUGGGGAAUAUUGCACAAUGGGCGCAAGCCUGAUGCAGCCAUGCCGCGUGUAUGAAGAAGGCCUUCGGGUUGUAAAGUACUUUCAGCGAGGAGGAAGGCAUUGUGGUUAAUAACCACAGUGAUUGACGUUACUCGCAGAAGAAGCACCGGCUAACUCCGUGCCAGCAGCCGCGGUAAUACGGAGGGUGCAAGCGUUAAUCGGAAUUACUGGGCGUAAAGCGCACGCAGGCGGUUGAUUAAGUCAGAUGUGAAAUCCCCGAGCUUAACUUGGGAACUGCAUUUGAAACUGGUCAGCUAGAGUCUUGUAGAGGGGGGUAGAAUUCCAGGUGUAGCGGUGAAAUGCGUAGAGAUCUGGAGGAAUACCGGUGGCGAAGGCGGCCCCCUGGACAAAGACUGACGCUCAGGUGCGAAAGCGUGGGGAGCAAACAGGAUUAGAUAUCCUGGUAGUCCACGCUGUAAACGAUGUCGACUUGGAGGUUGUGCCCUUGAGGCGUGGCUUCCGGAGCUAACGCGUUAA